CACAGAGAGACGCAGUCACCCACAGCCUCGGGACACAGGAGAAGUUAUCAUGGCCAGAGUCCCUGACAUGUUUGAGGAGCUCAAUCCCUGCAACAGUGAAAAUGAGGGAUUUAUUUUGGAUACUGACCAAGUCUCACUGAGUCAGGAGUCCUUCUACCCUAGUGCCAGCCCAUACCACAAAGAGAACUGGACAAAAGUAGAGAUUUCUGAGCAGACGCACCAUCUUAACUUACAAGAGUAUGCGGGAGAAACAGUUGUCCAAAGGGAAAUAGAAAAGAAGAGACAACUUUCCAGGAGCCAUCCCAUCACCAAUGAUUACCUGGUUAACGUUGGCAGCAUUCCAGAAGAAAAUAAAGAUGUAAUCAAAUACAGGUUGGACUCCACCGUUCAAAACAAUGUGGUGUAUGAGUUCCACUCCUUUAUAACUGACCAAAAAGUGACAGACCAGAAAUAUCGGAAUUUAACGCGAUGUGAAAGCACCCUGAGAGCUAUGGCUACACAAGACGCGACACG
This 513-nucleotide long non-coding RNA is filed under the name Vombatus ursinus (common wombat). RNAcentral describes it as "lncRNA (ENSVURG00010008777.1)". The record is from RNAcentral. Lineage: Eukaryota; Metazoa; Chordata; Mammalia; Diprotodontia; Vombatidae.